Long non-coding RNA from Manihot esculenta (cassava), 2659 nucleotides. RefSeq lists it as uncharacterized. The transcript has 5 exons. The record is from RefSeq and is a predicted model, not a curated record. Lineage: Eukaryota; Viridiplantae; Streptophyta; Magnoliopsida; Malpighiales; Euphorbiaceae.
AAUCUCAACCACAAAGACUCAUCCAAAUAACAUUAUUUACAAAUUACACCUUAUCACUCCCGUACUCAAGCCUAAACACAGCAUCCUUAUCUCUCCUGAGGGGUGGAUUCGUCCUUAUUACUCCCUGAGUUAAUACAGAUGAGUCACGAGAACACACACAGUUUGCUUUCUAAUUUAACUUACUGCGAUGCAUCUCUUUAAAUUUUCAUUUUAUUUGAUCGCUCUGUACAUUAACUUUACUCUUUUUUUUUUGCUUGUUUAAUGAGAUUGUACAUUCUUGUAGUCAUAUUCAGGUCUAUCUUGAAUGAACAGGUAAGCACAUGUUUGAUGAAAUUGAUUACAUCCUAGAGGAUCUAGAAGGGAAAAGUGCUGGAUGCUUUGCUUCCCUCUAUGGUUGCUGAUAGAGGCAGGAGUAGACGACACACAGAUUAAGGAGAAAGAGAAGAGAGGAAGGCAGAAUUCUUUACUGAAAGAGAUUAAUAGUUCCUAAACACUCAGUAUUCUCAAAUAAGAACAACAGAAAAGAAAUAGAAAUAGAAAUAUUAGCUCAAGCUAGCCCAACUAUUGCCACAAACAAAUUCCCAAAAUCAGGCAUACCCCCCUCCUUACGAGGAUUCAUUCUAUAUAGCUGUCUCUAUGCUCAAAUGUCCCUGGAAAUGGUAUCUCCUUAAUUCCUUCUAACAGAAUUAUUCCCUCUUUGAUUACCUUCCAUCUGUCCACUUCUAGAAACAUUCUGCUGUCUCUAUUUCUUCCUAAAUACACCCUUGAAGGCUGGGGCUGAGUAUUGUGUCCCAACAACAUUUUUACCUAUUACCGCUGCUUCUAUCAUUUGUCACCCAUGUGUGUUUUUCCAUGCUCAUGAAACCAGGCCUUCUUGCAUAAUUUUGAUUUUACGAUGAUAGGAGCCUUGGGAGGUAUUCAUCACCAUUACAAUGUCGGGGUCAUUCAAAUGGUACUGGCUGUUUGGUUGAUGAUCUGAUGAGAGAACCACUUCAGUUUUUCCCUCUUGGUUUUGAUCCAAUCAGUUAAGGACACGAGCAAGCAUCUUUUGGUGAUGGGACUAGACAAUCUUGAGAAUUUGAGGUUUGCAAUAUUAUUCUUUAUCAUAUACAGUUAGUUUUAUUUAUCUUCUCCAUCUCUUGCUGGAUUUAUGAUCAGUGGUUUGAUCAAUUUUAUUUGUAAGGACAUAAUGUCAGCAAGGCAAUAUUGACAUGUCGAAGUUGUUCAGCCUCUGUUUUUAAAUUAUUCAAAUUGUUUUAUGAAAAAAAGAUAAACAUUUAUGAAUAAAACCCGAGUGUUAAAGACUCUACAUUUCAGUUGUACAUGAGUAGAAAUUUAGAAGUACUAAUAUCAUAACGAAAUAUUUACGUGGGGAACUUCUGGGAACAUGGCUGUUGAAAUUGAAAGCUUUUUCCAUAGCAAGCAAGUUUUGCUACUUUUCUGGGCUUUAGUAACUUUAGAGAUCAAUUAAGUCACAAGUGGACCACCCCUGUCCCUGCCCCUUGAGCCUGGUUUAAUUAUUCAUUGGCUGAUAAGCAACAACAUAAAUUCCUUUGGUUGUUCCAAGCCAACUACUGGUAACUGUAGAAGUGUUAAAUUUGAAUUGAAUCAAUAUGGGGAGUCUCAACAUCUGAAUAAUAGGCAUGAUGGCCAAUGGAUUUUCAAGGAUCUGCUAAGCUCAUGAUUUAUAUCAGGCAAUAGCACCAACAUUAUGGUGUUAUGUAUAUUUUUAACUUCUCGUUUCCCUGGGACAACACAAUGGUGAGAAGGGCUCUGCUGAGUCUAUGAUUUAUUUCAGGCAAUAGAACCAGCUAUAUGAUGUUAUGUAUAUAUACUUCUCCUUUCCUGGGACGACACAGUGGUGAGAAGGGCUUUGGGAUCACUUGAAGGCACAGGUAAGGUUCUGGAUCUGAAUUGCAAGUUGUGGAGAGUACGUAUCCUUUUGUCAUUGGAAGGCCUUAGGUGGACCCAAAUCCUGAUAUAAGAAGAAUUUUGAGGGAACUUCUCAUCUGCAAUAAUGGAUCUGUGAGAUGGACUUAGUUAGACUGACUGGCAGGGCAAUCUAGUCCUUAAAAAUUCAGUUCUCUUGUACACAAUCCGCUUCAUGCUUUAAUCAGAAGAUUUUGCUUCUUAAUAAGGUCCUUCACAUCCAGCUGCAAAGAGAGCUCACUGGUUUUGGAGGCGAAUCAGAAAGUAUCCUGUUGCUUCCUAGAUGUUUCCAGCGUUGUUAUGCAGCCACAGUUAGCCUCAACAAUUGAACAGAGGUAGUUGGUUUUGAAAGUGGAGCUUGGUCUUCGAAGCAAAUGCUUAGAUGUGUUCUACAUGGGAAAUAAAGACAGACCUUUAAUUAUGGAAGCACAUACUCCGGGACCCAGAGAUCCUUCACCAUCUCACCGGAUGACAAAAAUAGGAACUUAGCUUUCUUCUUUCCUCUCUAGAAGGACAAUGGAGGUGGAAGGAGAAGAUAAGAACUAAUCAGACAGACGAUGUGUCUCUUUCAUUCUCACAGUGAGUUUUCCUCCAUGCAAGGGAACAUUAUUACAAAUUUCUUGUCAAUAUCUUAAGAAUGUGGUCCCUAUUUAAACAAUCGUUUAAAAUAAACAAUUAUAAAAUAUUUUGAUAUAAUUAAAUACUAAUGAAAGAAAACUUUUAUUUUUAA